UUUCCGCAGGUGAACCUGCGGAAGGAUCAUCACUGAGUGAGGGCCCCUCGGGGUCCAACCUCCCACCCGUGUUUAACGAACCUUGUUGCUUCGGCGGGCCCGCCUCACGGCCGCCGGGGGGCAUCUGCCCCCGGGCCCGCGCCCGCCGAAGCCACCUGUGAACGCUGUCUGAAGUAUGCAGUCUGAGACAAUUAUUAAAUUAAUUAAAACUUUCAACAACGGAUCUCUUGGUUCCG
RNAcentral lists this unclassified non-coding RNA (236 nucleotides) under plant metagenome. Its description in RNAcentral is "partial contains small subunit ribosomal RNA, internal transcribed spacer 1, and 5.8S ribosomal RNA". The record is from RNAcentral.